UCUUCCCUCUUUCUUCGUGCCUAAUACAUGCAAGUCGAGCGAACAGAUGAGGAGCUUGCUCCUCUGACGUUAGCGGCGGACGGGUGAGUAACACGUGGAUAACCUACCUAUAAGACUGGGAUAACUUCGGGAAACCGGAGCUAAUACAGGAUAAUAUAUUGAACCGAAUGGUUAAAUAGUGAAAGACGGUUUUGCUGUCACUUAUAGAUGGAUCCGCGCCGCAUUAGCUAGUUGGUAAGGUAACGGCUUACCAAGGCAACGAUGCGUAGCCGACCUGAGAGGGUGAUCGGCCACACUGGAACUGAGACACGGUCCAGACUCCUACGGGAGGCAGCAGUAGGGAAUCUUCCGCAAUGGGCGAAAGCCUGACGGAGCAACGCCGCGUGAGUGAUGAAGGUCUUCGGAUCGUAAAACUCUGUUAUUAGGGAAGAACAAAUGUGUAAGUAACUAUGCACGUCUUGACGGUACCUAAUCAGAAAGCCACGGCUAACUACGUG
This 497-nucleotide ribosomal RNA is filed under the name uncultured bacterium. Its description in RNAcentral is "partial 16S ribosomal RNA". It matches the Rfam family "Bacterial small subunit ribosomal RNA", at positions 36 to 507 of the family's 1533-position model. The record is from RNAcentral.